Molecule: ribosomal RNA, 487 nt
Filed under: Pseudomonas sp. SFI11
Lineage: Bacteria; Pseudomonadati; Pseudomonadota; Gammaproteobacteria; Pseudomonadales; Pseudomonadaceae
Description: partial 16S ribosomal RNA
Rfam family: Bacterial small subunit ribosomal RNA
Source: RNAcentral
AGAGUUNGAUCCCUGCUCAGAUUGAACGCUGGCGGCAGGCCUAACACAUGCAAGUCGAGCGGAUGACGGGAGCUUGCUCCUUGAUUCAGCGGCGGACGGGUGAGUAAUGCCUAGGAAUCUGCCUGGUAGUGGGGGACAACGUUUCGAAAGGAACGCUAAUACCGCAUACGUCCUACGGGAGAAAGCAGGGGACCUUCGGGCCUUGCGCUAUCAGAUGAGCCUAGGUCGGAUUAGCUAGUUGGUGGGGUAAUGGCUCACCAAGGCGACGAUCCGUAACUGGUCUGAGAGGAUGAUCAGUCACACUGGAACUGAGACACGGUCCAGACUCCUACGGGAGGCAGCAGUGGGGAAUAUUGGACAAUGGGCGAAAGCCUGAUCCAGCCAUGCCGCGNGUGUGAAGAAGGUCUUCGGAUUGUAAAGCACUUUAAGUGNNAGGAAGGGNGAAAGCUAAUACCUUCNCCUUGACANUNNGCAGNUAGCCCGCACU